Molecule: small RNA, 108 nt
Filed under: Aequorivita sp. KMM 9714
Lineage: Bacteria; Pseudomonadati; Bacteroidota; Flavobacteriia; Flavobacteriales; Flavobacteriaceae
Description: 6S RNA
Rfam family: 6S-Flavo RNA
Source: RNAcentral
ACUCAACACGAAUUCUUUAAAAAAGGGUGAGUUAAAGUUGUAAAAGCGGGCCGUCUUCGAGCGGAUUCUUGAUCAGCUUGUUAGCCCUAAACAUUUUUUAAGGAGUUU